RNAcentral lists this long non-coding RNA (301 nucleotides) under Mytilus galloprovincialis (Mediterranean mussel). The record is from RNAcentral. Lineage: Eukaryota; Metazoa; Mollusca; Bivalvia; Mytilida; Mytilidae.
GUAUAUUCGGUGUAUGGAAGGACUUUAAGGUGUACAUGUCCAACUGGCAGGUGUCAUCUGACCUUGACCUCAUUUUCAUGGUUCAGUGGUUAUAGUUAAAUUUUUGUGUUUUGGUCUGUUUUCUCAUACCAUAUGCAAUAGGUCUACUAUAUUUGUUGUAUGGAAUGAUUGUUAAGUGUACAUGUCUAGCGGGCAGAUGUCAUGUGACCUUGAACUCAUUUUCAUGGUUCAGUGGUCAAAGUUAAGUUUUUGAGUUUUGGUCUUUUUAUCUAAUGCUAUAUGCCAUAGGUCAACUAUAUUU